AUGGACAGCAUGAGGAAAUCUUAUCAGUCUACACAAACAGCUUUGAAAUGGGCAAUAAUACUUGUUAAAUUUUGCACUGUUUGACUGCUAGUCUCACCUUUGAGGGUGACAGAAAGAUGCUGAGAAUGUGAGCACUGAGCCAUCCCAAAAAGAAGAUCUUCAGUUUCAAAUGAAGCUUAUCUUUUUCCUGAGUUGAUAUCUGAGAACUCGCUCUUAAAGAUACAGCUCCAGCUUCAUGCCAUCAUGUCAUCAUCACAAGAGUAUAUGACUGAUCCAAAAAUAAGCAGGACAAUACUCCAUGCCACACAGCCAAGUCAGUCAAGGUGUGGAUAGAGGACCACAGGAUCAAGACCCUAUCAUGGCCAGCCCAAUCUCCAGACCUGAACACCAUUGAAAACCUCUGGAAUGUGAUCAAGAGGAAGAUGAAUGGCCACAAGCCAUCAAACAAAGCCGAGCUGAUUGAAUUUUUGCACCAGGUGUGGCAUUAAGUCACCUAACAGCAAUGUGAAAGACUGGUAGAGAGCAUGCCAAGACGCAUGAAAGUUGUGAUUGAAAAUCAAGGUUAUUCCACCAAAUAUUGAUUUCUGAACUCUUCCUAAGUUAAAACAUUAGCAUUAUGUUGUUUAAAAAUGAAUAUGAACUUAUUUUCUUUGCAUUAUUCGAGGUCUGAAAACACUGCAUCUUUUUGUUAUUUUGACCAUUUUCUGCAAAUAAAUGCACUAAAUGACAAUAGUUUUAUUUGGAAUUUGGGAGAAAUGUUGUCAGUACUUUAUAGAACAAAACAAAACUGUUCAUUUUACUCAAACAGGAGUUUUGUAGUCAGAAGUUUACAUACACCUUAGCCUAAUACAUUUAAUCUCAGUUUUCACA
This is a long non-coding RNA of Myxocyprinus asiaticus (Chinese sucker), 870 nucleotides long. RefSeq lists it as uncharacterized. The transcript has 4 exons. NCBI's taxonomy places the organism in Eukaryota, Metazoa, Chordata, Actinopteri, Cypriniformes, Catostomidae. The record is from RefSeq and is a predicted model, not a curated record.